AUUGAACGCUGGCGGCAGGCCUAACACAUGCAAGUCGAGCGGAUGAAGGGAGCUUGCUCCUUGGUUCAGCGGCCGACGGGUGAGUAAUUCCUAGGAAUCUGCCUGGUAGUGGGGGAUAACGUCCGGAAACGGGCGCUAUUACCGCAUACGUCCUGACGGAGAAAGGGGGGGAGCUUCGGACCUCACGCUAUCAGAUGAUCCUAGGUCGGAUUAGCUAGUUGGUGGGGUAAAGGCGUACCAAGGCGACGAUCCGUAACUGGUCUGAGAGGAUGAUCAGUCACACUGGAACUGAGACACGGUCCAGACUCCUACGGGAGGCAGCAGUGGGGAAUAUUGGACAAUGGGCGAAAGCCUGAUCCAGCAAUGCCGCGUGUGUGAAGAAGGUCUUCGGAUUGUAAAGCACUUUUAGUUGGGAGGAAGGGCAGUAAGUUAAUACCUCGCUGUUUUGACGUUACCAAAAGAAUAAGCACCGGCUAACUUCGUG
This 484-nucleotide ribosomal RNA is filed under the name uncultured bacterium. RNAcentral describes it as "partial 16S ribosomal RNA". It matches the Rfam family "Bacterial small subunit ribosomal RNA", at positions 30 to 507 of the family's 1533-position model. The record is from RNAcentral.